RNAcentral lists this ribosomal RNA (488 nucleotides) under uncultured bacterium. RNAcentral describes it as "partial 16S ribosomal RNA". It matches the Rfam family "Bacterial small subunit ribosomal RNA", at positions 28 to 507 of the family's 1533-position model. The record is from RNAcentral.
GACGAACGCUGGCGGCGUGCUUAACACAUGCAAGUCGAACGCGCCUGUCCUCUGGGUUUCUGGGGGGUGGGUAAGUGGCGAACGGGUGAGUAACACGUGAGUAACCUGCCCCCUUCUUCGGGAUAACGGUCUGAAAGGGCUGCUAAUACCGGGUAUUCACUGGUCUCCGCAUGGGGUCUGGUGGAAAGGUUUUUUUCUGGUGGGGGAUGGGCUCGCGGCCUAUCAGCUUGUUGGUGGGGUGAUGGCCCACCAAGGCUUUGACGGGUAGCCGGCCUGAGAGGGUGACCGGUCACAUUGGGACUGAGAUACGGCCCAGACUCCUACGGGAGGCAGCAGUGGGGAAUAUUGCACAAUGGGCGCAAGCCUGAUGCAGCGACGCCGCGUGAGGGAUGGAGGCCUUCGGGUUGUGAACCUCUUUCGCCCGUGGUCAAGCCGCGACGUGGGUCGUGGUGAGGGUAGUGGGUAAAGAAGCGCCGGCUAACUACGUG